GUGGAGGAGAUACUAUAUGUACUGGCUCAUUAUGAAUAGGUUCUACAGGUCUUAUGACUGUUGCUCUUCUAAGACUCUCUCUUUGAGCUUAUCCUCUUAUUAUCUCUAUUAUGGAUAAACUAUUUUCCAAGAAGACAGCAUGAUAGGUCACAAUCACGUUGUGAUCCAUUGGGAAGAAAAAGUAGUAUCCCAAACUCUUUAGGUUACCCUAUGAAAUGAGCUCUCAUAGAUCUAGCUUCUAACUUGUCUGCUAUGACAUAUCUCAUACAGUG
This 272-nucleotide long non-coding RNA is filed under the name Elaeis guineensis (African oil palm). RNAcentral's name for it is "long non-coding RNA (EGUI_LNC065965)". The record is from RNAcentral. Lineage: Eukaryota; Viridiplantae; Streptophyta; Magnoliopsida; Arecales; Arecaceae.